This 787-nucleotide long non-coding RNA is filed under the name Mustela putorius furo (domestic ferret). RNAcentral describes it as "lncRNA (ENSMPUG00000024424.1)". The record is from RNAcentral. Lineage: Eukaryota; Metazoa; Chordata; Mammalia; Carnivora; Mustelidae.
UGGAUGGUGUCUCCCUCUGGCCAGAUGCACGUGCCUCUGACUUCCUUAGCUCAGGUGCUGGGAUCCCUCAUGAAUCAGGCUGUGUCCCACAGGGGCUGGAGGUGGGAAGCAAGCGCAGGUGGAAGAGCUCCUGGCGUGGCUGACGUCACAGGCUCUACGCAUCCACAUGCAGGCACACUGCGGACACUGAACAUGUUCUUUCCUUCAGAACUGAACCCCGCAAGAGGCACACAUGGAAAACAAAGAUUAGUCACUUUUGCCAUGCCUUUGAUGAUUUCCACCUUUAUCAGAAGUCGCACACUGGGACCCAGGAUAAUUUUUGGCAGGGUGUUUAAAAGAGUUUUAAACCUCCGUGCCCUUUUAUGGUGCGUGCAAUUCCCAUUUCAGCUUCUGGUCGCCUGGAUCUCAAGGUGAUUGCAUUUGUUCUCCUAGAAAGGAUUUCAAGCUUAGGAGACUUAUGCUUCCACUUAACAGAAGAAGAAGACCGGAAAUCCUAUGUAAUAUUGCAAUGCUUUUAUAAACAUGGCUGCCUAGGGACUCAACGCUGUGAAUCUGGGCUACACAAGCAGAAUACUGCUGAAAAUUGAAAUUAUUUCUUUUUAAUCAGUGGGUGUUCAAAAUGUUCAGAUUGGGUAUUCAAUUCAUAAGGAACAAAAAUACAAGCUGUUGGAAUGUCAAAUUACUGGAAGUUGAGAAUAGCCAACUGACUAACUCUAAUGAUUGUUUGGGUUUGCAUUUUAGUUCAGCCCUACUCUUUGACAUGGAGGGAACUUGGAGCCCCAGUCAG